AUAUCAAUAAGCGGAGGAAAAGAAACUAACAAGGAUUCCCCUAGUAACGGCGAGUGAAGCGGGAUGAGCUCAAAUUUAAAAUCUGGCGGUCUCAGAUCGUCCGAGUUGUAGUCUAGAGAAGCGUUUUCCGUGCUGGCCUGUGUACAAGUCCGUUGGAACACGGCGUCAUAGAGGGUGAGAAUCCCGUCCUUGACACAGAUCUCCAGUGCUUUGUGAUGCGCUCUCAAAGAGUCGAGUUGUUUGGGAAUGCAGCUCAAAAUGGGUGGUAAAUUCCAUCUAAAGCUAAAUAUUGGCGAGAGACCGAUAGCGCACAAGUA
RNAcentral lists this ribosomal RNA (317 nucleotides) under uncultured Agaricomycetes. RNAcentral describes it as "partial large subunit ribosomal RNA". It matches the Rfam family "Eukaryotic large subunit ribosomal RNA", at positions 40 to 350 of the family's 3401-position model. Lineage: Eukaryota; Fungi; Basidiomycota; Agaricomycetes. The record is from RNAcentral.